RNAcentral lists this microRNA (22 nucleotides) under Asparagus officinalis (garden asparagus). RNAcentral's name for it is "aof-miR482c". Its record names the gene aof-miR482c. Lineage: Eukaryota; Viridiplantae; Streptophyta; Magnoliopsida; Asparagales; Asparagaceae. The record is from miRBase by way of RNAcentral.
UUGCCUACUCCGCCCAUUCCCC